AAAUUGAAGAGUUUGAUCAUGGCUCAGAUUGAACGCUGGCGGCAGGCCUAACACAUGCAAGUCGAACGGUAACAGGAAGCAGCUUGCUGCUUCGCUGACGAGUGGCGGACGGGUGAGUAAUGUCUGGGAAACUGCCUGAUGGAGGGGGAUAACUACUGGAAACGGUGGCUAAUACCGCAUAACGUCGCAAGACCAAAGAGGGGGACCUUCGGGCCUCUUGCCAUCAGAUGUGCCCAGAUGGGAUUAGCUAGUUGGUGAGGUAACGGCUCACCAAGGCGACGAUCCCUAGCUGGUCUGAGAGGAUGACCAGCCACACUGGAACUGAGACACGGUCCAGACUCCUACGGGAGGCAGCAGUGGGGAAUAUUGCACAAUGGGCGCAAGCCUGAUGCAGCCAUGCCGCGUGUAUGAAGAAGGCCUUCGGGUUGUAAAGUACUUUCAGCGGGGAGGAAGGUGUUGUGGUUAAUAACCACAGCAAUUGACGUUACCCGCAGAAGAAGCACCGGCUAACUCCGUGCCAGCAGCCGCGGUAAUACGGAGGGUGCAAGCGUUAAUCGGAAUUACUGGGCGUAAAGCGCACGCAGGCGGUCUGUCAAGUCGGAUGUGAAAUCCCCGGGCUCAACCUGGGAACUGCAUUCGAAACUGGCAGGCUUGAGUCUUGUAGAGGGGGGUAGAAUUCCAGGUGUAGCGGUGAAAUGCGUAGAGAUCUGGAGGAAUACCGGUGGCGAAGGCGGCCCCCUGGACAAAGACUGACGCUCAGGUGCGAAAGCGUGGGGAGCAAACAGGAUUAGAUACCCUGGUAGUCCACGCCGUAAACGAUGUCUACUUGGAGGUUGUGCCCUUGAGGCGUGGCUUCCGGAGCUAACGCGUUAAGUAGACCGCCUGGGGAGUACGGCCGCAAGGUUAAAACUCAAAUGAAUUGACGGGGGCCCGCACAAGCGGUGGAGCAUGUGGUUUAAUUCGAUGCAACGCGAAGAACCUUACCUGGUCUUGACAUCCACAGAACUUUCCAGAGAUGGACUGGUGCCUUCGGGAACUGUGAGACAGGUGCUGCAUGGCUGUCGUCAGCUCGUGUUGUGAAAUGUUGGGUUAAGUCCCGCAACGAGCGCAACCCUUAUCCUUUGUUGCCAGCGGUUAGGCCGGGAACUCAAAGGAGACUGCCAGUGAUAAACUGGAGGAAGGUGGGGAUGACGUCAAGUCAUCAUGGCCCUUACGACCAGGGCUACACACGUGCUACAAUGGCGCAUACAAAGAGAAGCGACCUCGCGAGAGCAAGCGGACCUCAUAAAGUGCGUCGUAGUCCGGAUUGGAGUCUGCAACUCGACUCCAUGAAGUCGGAAUCGCUAGUAAUCGUGGAUCAGAAUGCCACGGUGAAUACGUUCCCGGGCCUUGUACACACCGCCCGUCACACCAUGGGAGUGGGUUGCAAAAGAAGUAGGUAGCUUAACCUUCGGGAGGGCGCUUACCACUUUGUGAUUCAUGACUGGGGUGAAGUCGUAACAAGGUAACCGUAGGGGAACCUGCGGUUGGAUCACCUCCUUA
RNAcentral lists this ribosomal RNA (1542 nucleotides) under Salmonella enterica subsp. enterica serovar Thompson. RNAcentral's name for it is "bacterial SSU rRNA". It matches the Rfam family "Bacterial small subunit ribosomal RNA". The record is from RNAcentral. RNAcentral also lists the same sequence under 1 other name. Lineage: Bacteria; Pseudomonadati; Pseudomonadota; Gammaproteobacteria; Enterobacterales; Enterobacteriaceae.